This 430-nucleotide ribosomal RNA is filed under the name uncultured bacterium. RNAcentral describes it as "bacterial SSU rRNA". It matches the Rfam family "Bacterial small subunit ribosomal RNA", at positions 354 to 796 of the family's 1533-position model. The record is from RNAcentral.
GUGGGGAAUAUUGCGCAAUGGGCGGAAGCCUGACGCAGCGACGCCGCGUGGGGGAUGAAGGCCUUCGGGUUGUAAACCCCUUUCAGCAGGGACGAAGCGGAAGUGACGGUACCUGCAGAAGAAGCGCCGGCUAACUACGUGCCAGCAGCCGCGGUAACACGUAGGGCGCAAGCGUUGUCCGGAAUUAUUGGGCGUAAAGAGCUCGUAGGUGGCUUGUUGCGUCCGCUGUGAAAACUCAGGGCUUAACCCUGAGCCGGCAGUGGAUACGGGCAGGCUAGAGGUAGGUAGGGGAGAAUGGAAUUCCUGGUGUAGCGGUGAAAUGCGCAGAUAUCAGGAGGAACACCGGUGGCGAAGGCGGUUCUCUGGGCCUUACCUGACACUGAGGAGCGAAAGCGUGGGGAGCAAACAGGAUUAGAUACCCCUGUAGUCC